AUUUGGAGAUGAAGAGUAUUUAUUCAUAUUUCAGGAAGCUUAUGCAGCUGCCAUGUACUAUCUUUUCAACGAUCCUUGGUACGUGGAGGUAAACAUGGAUUCUGCUGCUCUUGUCUGGCCGUUAUUUAACAGUUUGCAGGCUUUCUGGCCAGGCCUUCAGGUUUUAGCGGGGGAUAUUGACCCUGCAAUUCGAACUCAUCGUGCCUUCUUUAGCGUUUGGAAAAAAUAUGGUUUCACUCCUGAGGGCUUCAAUCUUGCUACACUGAGU
This is a long non-coding RNA of Morus notabilis, 268 nucleotides long. RefSeq lists it as uncharacterized. The record is from RefSeq and is a predicted model, not a curated record. The transcript has 3 exons. Lineage: Eukaryota; Viridiplantae; Streptophyta; Magnoliopsida; Rosales; Moraceae.